GUCAACGGCCAUAGCGGACGGGAAACACCUGCUCUCGUUCCGAACGCAGAAGUUAAGCCGUCCAGCGAUCUGUAUGGUACUGCUUAAUAAGUGGGAAGUACAGGACGCUGUUGACC
Molecule: ribosomal RNA, 116 nt
Filed under: Candidatus Altarchaeales archaeon
Lineage: Archaea; Nanobdellati; Candidatus Altarchaeota; Candidatus Altarchaeia; Candidatus Altarchaeales
Source: RNAcentral